UAGAGUUUGAUCAUGGCUCAGAUUGAACGCUGGCGGCAUGCUUUACACAUGCAAGUCGAACGGCAGCGCGGGGCAACCUGGCGGCGAGUGGCGAACGGGUGAGUAAUACAUCGGAACGUACCCAGAAGUGGGGGAUAACGUAGCGAAAGUUACGCUAAUACCGCAUACGAUCUACGGAUGAAAGUGGGGGACCUUCGGGCCUCAUGCUUUUGGAGCGGCCGAUGUCUGAUUAGCUAGUUGGUAGGGUAAAGGCCUACCAAGGCGACGAUCAGUAGCUGGUCUGAGAGGACGACCAGCCACACUGAACUGAGACACGGUCCAGACUCCUACGGGAGGCAGCAGUGGGGAAUUUUGGACAAUGGGCGCAAGCCUGAUCCAGCAAUGCCGCGUGAGUGAAGAAGGCCUUCGGGUUGUAAAGCUCUUUUGUCAGGGAAGAAACGGCUGAGGCUAAUACCUUCGGCUAAUGACGGUACCUGAAGAAUAAGCACCGGCUAACUACGUGCCAGCAGCCGCGGUAAUACGUAGGGUGCAAGCGUUAAUCGGAAUUACUGGGCGUAAAGCGUGCGCAGGCGGUUUUGUAAGUCUGUCGUGAAAGCCCCGGGCUCAACCUGGGAAUUGCGAUGGAGACUGCAAGGCUUGAAUCUGGCAGAGGGGGGUAGAAUUCCACGUGUAGCAGUGAAAUGCGUAGAGAUGUGGAGGAACACCGAUGGCGAAGGCAGCCCCCUGGGUCAAGAUUGACGCUCAUGCACGAAAGCGUGGGGAGCAAACAGGAUUAGAUACCCUGGUAGUCCACGCCCUAAACGAUGUCUACUAGUUGUCGGGUUUUAAUUAACUUGGUAACGCAGCUAACGCGUGAAGUAGACCGCCUGGGGAGUACGGUCGCAAGAUUAAAACUCAAAGGAAUUGACGGGGACCCGCACAAGCGGUGGAUGAUGUGGAUUAAUUUGAUGCAACGCGAAAAACCUUACCUACCCUUGACAUGGAAGGAAUCCCGGAGAGAUCUGGGAGUGCCCGAAAGGGAACCUUCACACAGGUGCUGCAUGGCUGUCGUCAGCUCGUGUCGUGAGAUGUUGGGUUAAGUCCCGCAACGAGCGCAACCCUUGUCAUUAGUUGCUACGCAAGAGCACUCUAAUGAGACUGCCGGUGACAAACCGGAGGAAGGUGGGGAUGACGUCAAGUCCUCAUGGCCCUUAUGGGUAGGGCUUCACACGUCAUACAAUGGUACAUACAGAGGGCCGCCAACCCGCGAGGGGGAGCUAAUCCCAGAAAGUGUAUCGUAGUCCGGAUUGUAGUCUGCAACUCGACUACAUGAAGUUGGAAUCGCUAGUAAUCGCGGAUCAGCAUGUCGCGGUGAAUACGUUCCCGGGUCUUGUACACACCGCCCGUCACACCAUGGGAGCGGGUUUUACCAGAAGUAGGUAGCUUAACCGCAAGGAGGGCGCUACCACGGUAGAUCGA
Molecule: ribosomal RNA, 1458 nt
Filed under: Massilia timonae
Lineage: Bacteria; Pseudomonadati; Pseudomonadota; Betaproteobacteria; Burkholderiales; Oxalobacteraceae
Description: bacterial SSU rRNA
Rfam family: Bacterial small subunit ribosomal RNA
Source: RNAcentral